RNAcentral lists this transfer RNA (63 nucleotides) under Coluber constrictor (Eastern racer). Its description in RNAcentral is "tRNA-Arg". The record is from RNAcentral. Lineage: Eukaryota; Metazoa; Chordata; Lepidosauria; Squamata; Colubridae.
ACUGUGAUAGUCUAAUAGAUAUUUGAUUUCGACUCAAAAGAACUUAUCCAAUAAGUCGCAGUA